UAUACGAGCCAGUGCGCCGGCGCCGACGUUUCCGAACGGACGAUUGGAUAGCGCGAUUGUAUAUUGCGAAAAUACCGCAAACUUAACGUAUUUAAUCUUAGUACAUUUCGAGUGACCGACCUUACAAGUGCACUUUCUUAACCCACAUAAAAUCGAUGGAUUUUUGAAAAAGUGAAAUGUGAAGUACGCAAUUAAAUGGUGAAGACUAUUGGCUUUUGUUAUGCUAUAACGGAGACGUUAGAAUUAAACUCGCACAGUACUUCUGGUUUGCUUAAUUGAAUGAGUAUUUGUUAUAUGACAAAUAUAAAGAUUUUGUUCGAAUAGACAAUGUUAAUAACGAAGUAUACGGCGAUACUGUUGGAGAGUGCUAGGAGUGCUGAAGCAAGGAAUGCUUUGUCGAUUCCCAAUCGAGGAGUGGGUGAUGCGGAUUGGUCAUCAUCACUGGACAGUGUUCCAAAUCGUAGGAGACAAUGGAGACGCCGGCAUGUAGCUCACAG
This 497-nucleotide unclassified non-coding RNA is filed under the name Melitaea cinxia (Glanville fritillary). RNAcentral describes it as "misc RNA ENSMCXG00005008037.1". The record is from RNAcentral. Lineage: Eukaryota; Metazoa; Arthropoda; Insecta; Lepidoptera; Nymphalidae.